RNAcentral lists this ribosomal RNA (301 nucleotides) under uncultured bacterium. Its description in RNAcentral is "partial 16S ribosomal RNA". It matches the Rfam family "Bacterial small subunit ribosomal RNA", at positions 509 to 809 of the family's 1533-position model. The record is from RNAcentral.
CAGCAGCCGCGGGAAUACGGAGGGUGCAAGCGUUAAUCGGAAUUACUGGGCGUAAAGCGCACGCAGGCGGCCUGUCAAGUCAGAUGUGAAAUCCCCGGGCUUAACCUGGGAACUGCAUUUGAAACUGGCAGGCUAGAGUCUUGUAGAGGGGGGUAGAAUUCUAGGUGUAGCGGUGAAAUGCGUAGAGAUCUGGAGGAAUACCGGUGGCGAAGGCGGCCCCCUGGACAAAGACUGACGCUCAGGUGCGAAAGCGUGGGGAGCAAACAGGAUUAGAGACCCCUGUAGUCCCUGUCUCUUAUAA